RNAcentral lists this ribosomal RNA (400 nucleotides) under uncultured bacterium. RNAcentral's name for it is "bacterial SSU rRNA". It matches the Rfam family "Bacterial small subunit ribosomal RNA", at positions 355 to 754 of the family's 1533-position model. The record is from RNAcentral.
UAGGGAAUUUUCGGCAAUGGGGGAAACCCUGACCGAGCAACGCCGCGUGAAUGACGAAGUACUUCGGUAUGUAAAGUUCUUUUAUCAGGGAAGAAUGGCUUACGGAAAAGUAAGAUUGACGGUACUUGAUGAAUAAGCCCCGGCUAACUAUGUGCCAGCAGCCGCGGUAAUACAUAGGGGGCAAGCGUUAUCCGGAAUUAUUGGGCGUAAAGGGUGCGUAGGUGGUUGAGGAAGUCUUUGGUGUAAGUGCAGUGCUUAACGCUGUGAUGCUAAGGAAACUGAUCGACUUGAGUGUGGUAGAGGCAAGUGGAAUUCCAUGUGUAGCGGUAAAAUGCGUAAAUAUAUGGAGGAACACCGGUGGCGAAGGCGGCUUGCUGGGCCAUAACUGACACUGAGGCAC